Molecule: ribosomal RNA, 568 nt
Filed under: uncultured bacterium
Lineage: Bacteria
Description: partial 16S ribosomal RNA
Rfam family: Bacterial small subunit ribosomal RNA
Source: RNAcentral
UGGGGAAUAUUGCACAAUGGGCGAAAGCCUGAUGCAGCGACGCCGCGUGAGGGAUGACGGCCUUCGGGUUGUAAACCUCUUUCAGCAGGGAAGAAGCGAAAGUGACGGUACCUGCAGAAGAAGCGCCGGCUAACUACGUGCCAGCAGCCGCGGUAAUACGUAGGGCGCAAGCGUUGUCCGGAAUUAUUGGGCGUAAAGAGCUCGUAGGCGGUUAGUCGCGUCUGCUGUGAAAACUCGAGGCUCAACCUCGGGCUUGCAGUGGGUACGGGCUGACUAGAGUGCAGUAGGGGUGACUGGAAUUCCUGGUGUAGCGGUGGAAUGCGCAGAUAUCAGGAGGAACACCGAUGGCGAAGGCAGGUCACUGGGCCGCAACUGACGCUGAGGAGCGAAAGCAUGGGGAGCGAACAGGAUUAGAUACCCUGGUAGUCCAUGCCGUAAACGUUGGGCACUAGGUGUGGGGUCCAUUCCACGGAUUCCGUGCCGCAGCAAACGCAUUAAGUGCCCCGCCUGGGGAGUACGGCCGCAAGGCUAAAACUUAAAGGAAUUGACGGGGUCAUAGCUGUUUCCU